RNAcentral lists this unclassified non-coding RNA (1287 nucleotides) under Hevea brasiliensis (rubber tree). Lineage: Eukaryota; Viridiplantae; Streptophyta; Magnoliopsida; Malpighiales; Euphorbiaceae. The record is from RNAcentral.
AUAUAUAUAUAUAUAUAUAUGAGUUUAGUAUAUAUGAUAAAAAUUUGAGGACGAUUGAGGGUUGGUUUGAGUGAAAUAAAAUUUUGAAUACGUGCUAUUUGGAUAUAUGGAUUUCUAGAUUUUAGCUACUGUAUUUUAAGUAAAAUAUACAGCUAGAGCACCCAGAAUUUUAUGAGUUUUGGUGGGAGUGUAAAGUCAUUAGAUUUGUUAAUGAUACUUAGCCAAGCAAUUUGGUUAAUAGAGAACCUAUAUAAAGUUUUCCUUCAAUUGUUAGACAAAGAAGUCAAUAAAAGAUUAUAAUUUAGAGGAAUGAGUAAAGAUCCCAUAAAGAAAAAAAAGCUAGAUAAUACGAGGGUAGAAGACAAUGGAUCAGUAGGAAUUAAAUUCUGUCAACUAUGAAAAAUCUUAGGAUUUUCUGUCGAAUAGUAGUUUUGAGUUAAGUGCAGGUAUUUUAUACAUGCUCUAUGCUUGGAAAGUGGAGUGGAGAGUUCAUUAACAACCUAAACAAAAAGGUAUAGACUAUAGGGUAUGACAUGCAUUUAAAUGACUUAGAACGAGGCGACAUAGAUGCUAAAACGACUUCAGAUAUGGAAUCCUAAUGUCUAAUUAUUUGACUUCAGUAUAAUAUGUAUAUAAACGAACACAUGCACAGCUGUAUAUACAUAGGUUAUGUAAAAAUAUUAGCCUAUUCCCUAAUGUAUUAGAGGAGUAUAGAAUAUAUGUAAAAAUGCAAAAAUGUAAAUUCUAGAAGUAUGUAAGUGAAUCAAAGAAAUGAUUGAGUAUAGGGAUGUAUAUUUGUAGGAUUAAAUUGAUCAGAUAGAUUGUGAAUCUGUUUCAAUAUUGAUUUAAGAAAGAUUUCAGAAAAGAGAAAACAAACAUAAUAGAAAACUUUAAAGAUUAGGUUUUAGACAGAGGGAGAGAUCAUGGGCUUUAAUUGCGCAUCAUGGAGGGGUGGUAAAGAAAUUGUUGUAGUUCGUCUGCAAGAGGUAAAGUAAUUAUGCCACUAAAGUUCUGAGAAGCUGUUUUGCAGCUAGAUAUUUUAAAAUAGAGGAUAGCAUUUUCAUCUGUUAAGAGAUAAAGUUGUUUUGCUGCUAGAAUUUUGAAAAGUUAUGGUGCAACUAGAGAUUUUAAAUGCAUGGCUUCCCCGCUAAAGAUGUAAAGGAAGCUUGACCAUUAGAGGUUACAGAAGUUCCCUUUUGAAAAUAAAGGCUGAGGUUAGCCUCCAAAUAUGUUCCCCUUAACUCUAUGAUGGUGCAUAGGAUCUAAAGAUAGUGAACUAACUGUUCA